RNAcentral lists this non-coding RNA (31 nucleotides) under Mus musculus (house mouse). Lineage: Eukaryota; Metazoa; Chordata; Mammalia; Rodentia; Muridae. The record is from RNAcentral.
UGGACUCCCAUUAAAAUGUUAAGGCCAUUGC